Molecule: ribosomal RNA, 497 nt
Filed under: uncultured bacterium
Lineage: Bacteria
Description: partial 16S ribosomal RNA
Rfam family: Bacterial small subunit ribosomal RNA
Source: RNAcentral
GAUGAACGCUGGCGGCGUGCCUAAUACAUGCAAGUCGAGCGAACAGACGAGGAGCUUGCUCCUCUGACGUUAGCGGCGGACGGGUGAGUAACACGUGGAUAACCUACCUAUAAGACUGGGAUAACUUCGGGAAACCGGAGCUAAUACCGGAUAAUAUAUUGAACCGCAUGGUUCAAUAGUGAAAGACGGUUUUGCUGUCACGUAUAGAUGGAUCCGCGCCGCAUUAGCUAGUUGGUAAGGUAACGGCUUACCAAGGCGACGAUGCGUAGCCGACCUGAGAGGGUGAUCGGCCACACUGGAACUGAGACACGGUCCAGACUCCUACGGGAGGCAGCAGUAGGGAAUCUUCCGCAAUGGGCGAAAGCCUGACGGAGCAACGCCGCGUGAGUGAUGAAGGUCUUCGGAUCGUAAACCGCUGUUAUUAGGGAAGAACAAAUGUGUAAUUAACCAUGCACGUCUUGACGGUACCUAAUGAGAAAGCCCCGGCUAACUACGUG